RNAcentral lists this small nucleolar RNA (79 nucleotides) under Zygosaccharomyces rouxii. RNAcentral's name for it is "snR78". It matches the Rfam family "Small nucleolar RNA snR78". Lineage: Eukaryota; Fungi; Ascomycota; Saccharomycetes; Saccharomycetales; Saccharomycetaceae. The record is from RNAcentral.
UCCGCUGAUGACCAAAUUAAUUAAACAAACUAGAGUUUCUGAUAAUUCUAAUGAUUAGAACGUUAAUCAUCGCUGAGGA